RNAcentral lists this transfer RNA (65 nucleotides) under Dipodomys ordii (Ord's kangaroo rat). It matches the Rfam family "tRNA". Rfam says of the family: Transfer RNA (tRNA) molecules are approximately 80 nucleotides in length. The record is from Rfam by way of RNAcentral. Lineage: Eukaryota; Metazoa; Chordata; Mammalia; Rodentia; Heteromyidae.
GGUGGCUCAGUGGUAGAGUGCCUGCCUUGCAUGCAUGAGGUCCUGGGUUCAAUUCCUCAGCACCA